ACUUCCGGUAACUCGGUCAUGGCGGUGUUUACAACUGAGAAAGUGAUGUGGGAAGAAACGAAAACCUCUUUAAAAAAACAGAAAUGGGUCAAGUCUGCCUCAUCCGCGACUUAUUACAGAGUGGGAGGAUGACAUGAAAAAGUGGCCACAAGUCAUGUAUGGCGAUAUUUUUAACUAUUUCGUGUUGUCUCUUGGCGUUGAUGGCUCGGCUAUGAGGAAUUAUAAGAGCACCGAAGCCUAUCAAUAUUUGCAUAGUGGUAAAGUCGGCGCUGUUCUGUUACAUCAAGAACGGGAAUAUACGUUUCUUAAAGCUAAUGUCAGGCUAGUACCUCCUCACACAUGGCGUGGGUGUUGGUGACAGCUGAUGGAGUGGUGGAGACCACGGGAUGCUCCUGUAUCGCUGGGUUGGGACGGUCCUGCAGUCACGCUGCUGCGAUAUUAUGGAAGUAACAGCUACUGAACUGAUGACCUUUUGUGAAUAUGUUGUCUAAUCUCUGAUUGAUACCAUGGAGUAAGGUAAGUAAUGACAGGUAAGUAAGCAUGCCAUUGUAACAUUCAGACAACAAACUCAAUUCCACACUAAUCUACAGCUUAAGGUAAGUGUCUGCAACUAUUACUAUCUCCCAAUAAAGUGAACCUCUAUUUGCUUGUAUACAUAGCUUGUGGUUAACAAUUGGUAUGUACACUCACAUCACAAAUUGGCCUUGAUGCCCUUUAAAAUAAAUCCUUUUUAUAGCAAUAGAAAAAAUGCCACAUAAAGCUAUAUAUAAGCAUCUUAAGUUAAUUCAGUCUAAUCACUUUUAAGCCUGAAAACUGCAUAUUAAGGUACAGUAUUUCUUUCAAAAAAAAACAACAAAAAAAACAACACAAACAAACACGUAUUUACCAUGAACACACUAAAAUAUGCUGUGUUUGUUAGGUGGAGAAUGCAGUGUCCAGUGCCCUCACUGGUUUAUCCUGCACUGACAAGCAGAGGCAAUGGAAUAAAGGGACACAGUGGAACAUUGAGCCAAAACAGGUCAGAGACAUCUCCUUCGCCCACCAUAAGCCCUCUGACACAUUUAGUGGAGAUGCUCAACCCAACAAGGUACGUCUACCCCCUACCCUUGUCUGUCACACACAAGAAGAGCUCCAAGAGGCCUUCAGCAGCUACACCCUGCCACCAUCGAGUCUCCUCUUCAAGUGUGUGCAUGCAGCGCCAGCACCAGCACACCCGAAAACCCCAUCUGUCCCCCUGUCCCAUCCAGGCGUAAACUAACCGUGACGUCACCCGUUGGUUUCAACGGCGAGAAAAUGAAGCCCGGAUUUUGCUACUUCCUGGUCGCCGUUUUGGAUUUUUUUGGAGCCAGUGAUGUAAAAAGCGUCAUCAAACAGACUGGACCGGAGAGCAACUAGGGGCAGGAUUGGCUGAGGACUCUCUUAUCCCGCCCACAUUUUACCGCAGAGGCUUCUGUUGCUGUCUAUCAAGUAUAGCCACGCCCCCUGGCUCCGCCAACUUUAACGAUUUAUUUAAAAUUCAGUAUUGAUUUAUUUUAAGAUCGGCCACCUGAUCUCUCAUUUUGACCAUGAAAACUAAUGGGAAAAAAAUCCUGAGCUGUAGAAAAUCAGUCUAUCAAAUUUUAUUUUUUCCAAAAAUGAAUUGGGGUCUAUGGAGAAAAAGCUUUUUGGAGCCAACCCUAGUGGACGGCGUGAUAUUGCAAGUUUUUGACACUUCUGGGUUGGCUUCAAUUCUGGAGCCAGAUGCGACGUCCACUAUAUAUACAGUCUAUGGUCCCAUCAAGACCACGAGGGUAAUAACAACUGCCCAGCCUGUGGAUCAUUUUAUGAUCGGUUUGUGGCAAUCUGCGGUGAGAUGUUGGAAGCAGCCACUCGGGAGCAGAGCACAUCCCAUCUCUGGCAUGACUCCAGGCGGGUGAGAAUCACUGCCAGCUCUGCUAAGAGUCCCCAUCAGAGCCCACCCUGACACCUUUCUAAAGGCUCAUGUUCACCCCCGCUUUCAUGGUAAUGCAGCCACCAAACAUGGGCUUGAGAAGGAGACUUUGGCGAUCAAGUGGCUUGAGGAGUGUGGACAUGCUGUUCAACGUAAAGGGACUGUGCUGUGUCCUCAGGAGCCCUGGCUGUCAGCAAGUCCAGACGGAGUUUUAGAGUCUGGAGACCUCUUGGAGGUAAAAUGGUCCUCCCUCAAGGAAAACGAGACUCUUGAGUCCCUUUUUGUGAGCCACAGGUACGACGUGAAGCUGGUGGAUGGGAUUCCCCAACUUCAGGAGAAGGGUCCCCAGGGUUUCUUCUUGCAGGUUCAGCUUGGCAUGUUCUGCACGGGGCUGAGAGCAUGCAAGCUUCUUAUCUGCAGCCCCUCCCAGCAGGCGAUUCUCCAUGUUCCUUUUGACGAGGAUUUUUGUACCAGAACUGUAGCUCGUCUCAAGUGUUUUUAUUUCAAAUAUUUCCUUCCCUUUGUUGCUGUUGAGCACCAGGAAGGUCGCUUGGUGCUUUGUGAGCGCUGUAGAUUGUUAUAGUUUGUGUUGUUAUAGUUAGUAUUUCAGGUUUGAAGUGGUGGGACGUAAAAUGCAAAAGUACAAGUAACGAGUAAAAAAAUCCUUUUUCCAGUACAUUUUAUGUUGGUUACCUUGUAUUUUUUUGUUAUUACAUUUUAAAGCCUGUAUCUGUUCUUUUUACUGCACUGCGUUUUUUAAUGGAGUCAAAGGAAAAUCAUUUUCAACACAUUUAUUUACAAAAUGAGGUCUGUGGUUCAGACUGGUUUGUCCUGGUUUAGCCAUUGUGAAGUCCUGGUUUAGAGUUGGUUUUGUCCUUGUUUAGACCUGAUUUUAUUUUAAAAUCUGUGUGACAUAACUUUUUUUCUCAUGAAAUAUUUUUGAAAAUUGAUACUUUUGUCCUUUACUUCAGUAGAACUUUAAACCUGAUACUUUAAGGUACAUUUAUUGUUCCUGUAUUUGUACUUUUUACUUAAAUAAGAAAAGUUAAUACUUUGUUCACUACCAGUGAUUUGUUUUUUGACAGGAACCAUUGGAAGGGGUACAAUAGAUGUCAAGGUAAAUUCUGUCUGAGUGUUGGAAUGCUAGGCCUUAUUUAGACAUUAUUCAGGUGUAAUUUAAUAGUUUGUCAGGUAGAGAUGAUUUUCUUUAAUGGCUUCUUCUCAUCUCAAAGUGUUGGAUAUAAACCUCGUUUCAGCUCAUGGUAUGAUUAAGAGUGAGUCCACAACUAAUGAUAAAUACUUCCAUAGAUUGGAUUAAUUUAAUCAGUUGUUUCAGCCCCUAUAAAAACGAAAAGUACUUGGGCUUGAAAUUGUUCAUAGUUUAAUGAAAUGUGAUUAAAAACAGUACUUCAAAUGAAGGCAUUUUUAUGAUUCUAGUUCUUCUUCUGAAAUUUAAAGUUAAGUUAUUGAUUUAAAUGGGCUGUAUUCCUUUGUAAAGUUUUUCUAUUCCUUUGAGAGCCUUCACAAACAUGCUCUGUUCCUUGUUUUCAAUUGUUUCCUAUCGUAAUGUAGUAGUGUAUUAAUCAAUUAUUGAGAGAUCACAAAACAGUCAGUCAGAAAGCAGUGAUAUUUUACUGAAUUGACAAUUCUUGAACAGUCCACUAGAUGGUGCAGUUUAAAUAUCAAAGGUUAUAUACAGCAGGACAAAAUAAACACUUUGUUUAACAAAAGUUCUAUAUGACAAAUAUAAUUAAUUUUCCUUCUUUUACAAUCCAAACAGUGUAAAAUUUAAUGUCUUAUAAUGUGUGUUUGAGUUGAUGAGUUACUGUUAAAUAAAGUGUGGCUGAACACAA
Long non-coding RNA from Acanthochromis polyacanthus (spiny chromis), 3783 nucleotides. RefSeq lists it as uncharacterized. NCBI's taxonomy places the organism in Eukaryota, Metazoa, Chordata, Actinopteri, Pomacentridae. The record is from RefSeq and is a predicted model, not a curated record. The transcript is spliced from 2 exons.